This 253-nucleotide ribosomal RNA is filed under the name uncultured bacterium. RNAcentral describes it as "partial 16S ribosomal RNA". It matches the Rfam family "Bacterial small subunit ribosomal RNA", at positions 524 to 776 of the family's 1533-position model. The record is from RNAcentral.
UACGUAGGUGGCAAGCGUUGUCCGGAAUUAUUGGGCGUAAAGCGCGCGCAGGCGGUUUCUUAAGUCUGAUGUGAAAGCCCCCGGCUCAACCGGGGAGGGUCAUUGGAAACUGGGAAACUUGAGUGCAGAAGAGAAGAGCGGAAUUCCACGUGUAGCGGUGAAAUGCGUAGAGAUGUGGAGGAACACCAGUGGCGAAGGCGGCUCUUUGGUCUGUAACUGACGCUGAGGCGCGAAAGCGUGGGGAGCGAACAGG